RNAcentral lists this ribosomal RNA (253 nucleotides) under uncultured bacterium. RNAcentral describes it as "partial 16S ribosomal RNA". It matches the Rfam family "Bacterial small subunit ribosomal RNA", at positions 524 to 776 of the family's 1533-position model. The record is from RNAcentral.
UACGUAGGGUGCAAGCGUUGCCCGGAUUUAUUGGGCGUAAAGCGCACGCAGGCGGUCUGUUAAGUCAGAUGUGAAAUCCCCGGGCUUAACCUGGGAACUGCAUUUGAAACUGGCAGGCUUGAGUCUUGUAGAGGGGGGUAGAAUUCCAGGUGUAGCGGUGAAAUGCGUAGAGAUCUGGAGGAAUACCGGUGGCGAAGGCGGCCCCCUGGACAAAGACUGACGCUCAGGUGCGAAAGCGUGGGGAGCAAACAGG